Molecule: ribosomal RNA, 495 nt
Filed under: uncultured bacterium
Lineage: Bacteria
Description: bacterial SSU rRNA
Rfam family: Bacterial small subunit ribosomal RNA
Source: RNAcentral
GACGAACGCUGCGGCACGCCUAACACAUGCAAGUCGAGCGGUUCGGAGAUUGGAACUGAGGGAUUAAGGAAUUAAUCUCUGAGCUCCAAUUUCCGGAUAGCGGCGGACGGGUGAGUAACACGUGAGGAACCUGCCUUUCAGAGGGGGAUAACGUUUGGAAACGAACGCUAAUACCGCAUGAAGUAUAUUUACGGCAUCGUAGAUAUACCAAAGGAGCAAUCCGCUGAAAGAUGGCCUCGCGGCUGAUUAGCUAGUUGGCGGGGUAACGGCCCACCAAGGCGACGAUCAGUAGCCGGACUGAGAGGUUGAACGGCCACAUUGGGACUGAGACACGGCCCAGACUCCUACGGGAGGCAGCAGUGGGGGAUAUUGCACAAUGGGCGAAAGCCUGAUGCAGCGAUGCCGCGUGGAGGAAGAAGGUCUUCGGAUUGUAAACUCCUGUCUUUAGGGACGAUAAUGACGGUACCUAAGGAGGAAGCUCCGGCUAACUACGUG